GUCUACAGCCCUACCAUCCUGAACGCGCCGACCGCAUCUGAUCUCGGAAGCUAAGCUGGGUCGGGCCUGGUCAAUACUUGGAUGGAGGACAGACCUUCAGAGGAGACUGCUCAGCGACAAGCAGUUUGGAGACA
RNAcentral lists this ribosomal RNA (134 nucleotides) under Castor canadensis (American beaver). The record is from RNAcentral. Lineage: Eukaryota; Metazoa; Chordata; Mammalia; Rodentia; Castoridae.